UCAACCCAUUUAACCUUCUAACCCAUCAAAUUAAAUGAGUUGAUGGGUUGACUCAACUCAUUUUACUAAAUGAGUUGAGUCAACCCAUCAACUCAUUUAACUCUAAACUCAUUGAGUAAUGAGU
RNAcentral lists this microRNA precursor (124 nucleotides) under Arabidopsis suecica. RNAcentral describes it as "MIR405". It matches the Rfam family "MIR405 microRNA precursor family". The record is from RNAcentral. Lineage: Eukaryota; Viridiplantae; Streptophyta; Magnoliopsida; Brassicales; Brassicaceae.